GCGGGAGUGGCGAAAUUGGUAGACGCACCAGAUUUAGGUUCUGGCGCCGCAAGGUGUGCGAGUUCAAGUCCCGCCUCCCGCACCA
This 85-nucleotide transfer RNA is filed under the name Escherichia coli. Its description in RNAcentral is "tRNA-Leu". It matches the Rfam family "tRNA". From Rfam's summary of the family: Transfer RNA (tRNA) molecules are approximately 80 nucleotides in length. Their secondary structure includes four short double-helical elements and three loops (D, anti-codon, and T loops). RNAcentral also lists the same sequence under 1 other name. Lineage: Bacteria; Pseudomonadati; Pseudomonadota; Gammaproteobacteria; Enterobacterales; Enterobacteriaceae. The record is from RNAcentral.